GCUACCUCGUGAAUCGAAAGGACUCAUCGUUACUCGUGUUUGUUAGGUUAGAACCGAAUGAGGAUAGGGCGCGUUCUCGAAACAUGGCGUCGAUUUUAUACAUGAAUAUGUACAAAGCACAGUUCAAGCAGUUACUAAUAAAGAGAAUACCAUUAGGCAUUAAGUGUCUAAUCAUUUUUAUGAAUUAAAACAUUGAGAACGUCCAUCGUUUAUGAAAAAAAUUCAGAUAAUAAUACGAUAAAUAAUGAUUCAUCGUUAAGAGAUAAGAUUGUGACAUAAGAGGAUAUUAUAUUAACAAAAUGUAUUUCCUUAUUAUUGUUAUGACUGUAUUGCAAGGUGUCAGAUAUGCUGCUCAAAAUAAUAAAACAUUUGACAUUACAAUAAGAUCAUUUUCAAUUAUAUUCGCUCAUUUAAAUUCACUUUCUUAUUUCUGCAAAAAAUUGCAAAACAGAGAGAAAGAAAGAGAAAAUAACGAUAAAUUAACGGAAUCCUUCUGCCUUUUUAUUCGAGAACCGUGGUAAGCUGUGGUGUCUUUGUUUUUACUGUAAUAGAGCAGAUUCCAAG
This 564-nucleotide unclassified non-coding RNA is filed under the name Bombus terrestris (buff-tailed bumblebee). Its description in RNAcentral is "misc RNA ENSBTSG00005026030.1". Lineage: Eukaryota; Metazoa; Arthropoda; Insecta; Hymenoptera; Apidae. The record is from RNAcentral.